Molecule: long non-coding RNA, 428 nt
Filed under: Medicago truncatula (barrel medic)
Lineage: Eukaryota; Viridiplantae; Streptophyta; Magnoliopsida; Fabales; Fabaceae
Description: lncRNA gene32056
Source: RNAcentral
GUCACCUCAUCUUUUCUAACUGAGUAAAACAUUGAGACUCUUUUGACACUAAGAAAAUGAAUAAAGGAAAGUUUUUUUGUGUGUCUCCAAUAUUCUCUAUAUGGUGCAAAUAUUUGAUCUAAUCCAUUAUAUGAUAUUUUCAUAUGGCUGAUUAACGCGGGUCGGUUACAGAAUUCGAUAUCAUGUGUUUUCAUUACUUCUUUGGCCAUUUUUGCUGAUGAAACAACGACUGUUUGCUUUGAACCAAGUUUAAGGGAGAUUAUAGGGCCAUAUUUCUUAGAGAGUUCAUAGAAAUUUAAACCAAGAACUGAACUAUCAAGUUGGUGUAAGUUUCCAAUGAAAGGAAGGCCUUUAGGACCUGGUGGAAGAGUUGUUGAUUUCUUAGAUUUCAUAGAAAUUUAAACCAAGAACUGAACUAUCAAGUUGGU